AUGAUAUUCAAGCUGGUUCGGGCUCAUAAUAAAAUCAUUAGCAAAGAUUACUGCCAAGCUUCAGGGUCAAAGCUGAGAGACGACAGUCACCAGCACCAAGAGGAACAAGAAGAAACAGGAAAAGAGGACAAAUGGCAAGAAUCCUCUUCUAGUCAUUCAAGUUGGAGUGCAGGAGAGAAUGAUUCCCAUUCCAGGAACGUCAGAGGAAGCAUUACACACGGGCCUGAAUCCAUAUCCAGAAGACUGAGUUUUCAAAGAGACUUUUCUGGCCAAAAUAAAUCCAGCUCAGGUCAGUCUUCCAGGUAUGGUCAGCAUGAGUCUGGCUCCCAUCAGUAUUCGGGUCGCGGCAGACAUGGGUCUGGAUCUGGCCAGUCUAAAGGCCGCAGCCGACGUGGGUCUGGGUCAGGGCAGUCUCCCAGCUACGGCCAACAUGGGUCUGGCUCAGGUCGUUCUUCCAGCCAUGGCUCAUAUGAGUCUGGUUCAGGUCACUUUUCUGGCUUAGGUCAACAUGAGUCUCGCUUAGGACAGUCCUCUGGUUACAGUCAGCACGGAAGUGGCUCAGGGCACUCCUCUAGCCAUGGACAGCAUGGUUCUACACCAGGACAGUCAUCAAACUUUGGCCAGGAGGGAUCUUGCACAGGCCAGUCUUCCAGCUAUGGCCACCAUGGCUCUGGCUCCAGUCAGUCUUCCGGCUAUGGCCGACACGUGGCUGGAUCUGGUCAGUCUCCUAGCCGCGGCCGACAUGGGCCUGGUUCAGGGCAGUCUUCUAGCUGUGGCCAAUAUGGGUCUGGCUCAGGACAGUCCUCUGGUUAUAGUCAGCAUGGAAGUGGCUCAGGGGCAGGUGGGUAUUCUUAUUGCAAAGGAGGAAGUAACUAUGAAGGUGAAAGUUCUUGCUCAGAUUUUCUCAGUUUUCAUAGUAGGACUUCACCCUAUGAAUAUAUCCAAAAGCAGAGGUGCUACUUUUAGCGUUGAAUAAUAAAUAUAAAUGCA
Molecule: long non-coding RNA, 990 nt
Filed under: Cercocebus atys (sooty mangabey)
Lineage: Eukaryota; Metazoa; Chordata; Mammalia; Primates; Cercopithecidae
Description: lncRNA (ENSCATG00000045913.1)
Source: RNAcentral